Long non-coding RNA from Lates calcarifer (barramundi perch), 1168 nucleotides. RefSeq lists it as uncharacterized. Lineage: Eukaryota; Metazoa; Chordata; Actinopteri; Centropomidae. The transcript is spliced from 2 exons. The record is from RefSeq and is a predicted model, not a curated record.
UGAUGGAUCCAGAACACCGUCUCUAGUGAAAAUGUGACCAAACCCAAAAGAUUCAUUAAUUUGAGGACUUAUACCUACCACCAGAACAAUGGCCCUCACAAUAAGCUUAGGCUUAUCGCUGCUAUCGUGGCUGAACAAAAAGCUCUCUGAACAAACCGGCUUCUCCUGGGUCACACCCAUGUGAUGGCAGAACCUGUAAAAAGCCCCACCAGCCCCACGGUGCACCUCAUUUCUUGCGGAUGGAUUUCUUGUGUAUCUGGAUGUUUGGAUUACAAAAAAACUACUUUUUUUCUCUCCAUAUUAUUUCCAGUACAGGACACAUAAAGAGACAAAUGGGAUUCCCUAACAUCAACCCAGCCAAAGUGUUGCCUUUGUCACAUCUGGAAGAUUAAACUGAAGUGUAGAAAUGGCCUCAUCCUGGCAAACAAGCAGCACUUGAGGCUACUUGUUAGAUGUCUGUGAGAUUGUUUUGCACUUUGAGGCAAACAAAAAUAUCAUUCGGUUGCACACAGUGUACAAUCUGAUAUCUCUUUAUGAGAUAAGGGCACCUGAGGACAGGUGAGGUGCUAUUUGCUUCCACUGAAUUAGACCUUUUUAUUAUCCUCCAUGAAACUGCUAGUUUAUGGAAAUUGUAAUGAUUGAGCCAGCCAUGUCCCAGCAUCAAAAGAAGCUUAGAAUGAGGUCUUAUGAGGAGACUCUAACAACACAGAGUAUGAUGCACUGUGUCCCCAACUGUACUCAUCACUGCUCCUGUUUCUCCUCUUCCCAGUCCCCCUGGACUCUGCGGUGCAUUCAGUCCAACUCAAAUUCAGAUCCCUCUCAAACUCAGUAGAUAUGCCGCAUGGCCUAGUUUACUCCUUGAACUGACCUUAUCCUCCUAAAAGUUUAUAUUUAUCAUGUCUGCAGUAAAUCCUUUGAGUCCAAAACAAUUUGUAUAUUCUUCAUUCACCUUGAUUGAGAGCUUGUCUGUGAUUGUGGUUUCACUGUGUAAUGUAUAUUUUUCUGCUUAUUCGCUUGAAAUAUCUAGAGAGCGGUGGAUUGAAAUUGGGAAGUCUUAAUUUAAUAUCAGAAGGAGCACUGAUGUGAAUCAAAAUAUUGCUCACAAAUAUUGCAUUAAGAUCAAUGAAUAUUAGGUACUUAACUGCAAUAAAAGAAAAGCUGCAUAGAA